This 509-nucleotide long non-coding RNA is filed under the name Homo sapiens (human). RNAcentral's name for it is "HSALNT0297401". The record is from RNAcentral. Lineage: Eukaryota; Metazoa; Chordata; Mammalia; Primates; Hominidae.
GCCUUACUCACUCUACUGUAAAAUCCCUGAAGGAUCCAGCCAUAUUUGGAGUCUGCUCUACACUGGAACAUCUUUUUUUUUUUUUUUUUAGAUGGAGUUUUGCUCUUGUCGCCCCGGCUGGAGUGCAGUGGUGCGACCUCAGCGAUCUCAGCGAUCUCAGCGAUCUCAGCUCACUACAACCUCUGCCUCUUGGAUUCAAGCAGUUCUCCUGCCUCAACCACCUGAGUAGCUGGGAUUACAGGCGCCUGCCACCACGCCUGGCUAAUUUUUGUAUUUUUAGUAGAGAUGGGGUUUCACCAGGUUGGUCAGUCUGGUCUCGAACUCCUGACCUCAGGUGAUCCACCCACCUCGGCCUCCCAAAGUGCUGGGAUUACAGGCGUGAGCCACCAUGCCCAGCCUACACUUGGGCUUCUUAGGCACAAGAUCCAGUAAGCCCUCCCUCCUCCUCCCCACCCCUUUUUUCUUUACACUAGUGUUUUCUGUAAUCCUGCAACAGAAAGAGUCCUAAC